Long non-coding RNA from Hemibagrus wyckioides, 1517 nucleotides. RefSeq lists it as uncharacterized. The record is from RefSeq and is a predicted model, not a curated record. Lineage: Eukaryota; Metazoa; Chordata; Actinopteri; Siluriformes; Bagridae. The transcript is spliced from 3 exons.
AGCAGCGGUUCCCCUCCAUACUCGAGUCUCCUGCUUGUAGUCCAUGUGAUGUUCUGCUCUUGUCAGGACCGUGUUACAGCAAGACAAAAGUCACAACUCAUCCAGAUAGUUGAAGACACUUAAGAGAUCAGCUAGUGUAGAGACUCAUCAAUUCAGAAUCUGAAGUUUUCAAGGACCUUGAUGAAGGACAGGAGAAGAAUCUUUACAGCAGUCUGCUUUGUACACUCUUGGCAUUCUCUCAGCCAGACUCAGGUAGUCUCCUGGAUUGGUUUUCCAACAAUCUUGAAGGAAUUCUCAGAGGUGUUGAGGACUUGUUGGCUGCUCUUCCUUCACUCUCUGGUCCAACUCAUCAUAAACCACCUCAGUUGGGUUUAGAUCAGGUGAGUGUGGAGCUCAUGUCAUCUGAUGCAGCAGUUCAUCACUCCCUUUCUUGGACAAAUACCUCUUACCUAGUGGUAUGUUUGUUGUUAUUGUCCUACUGAAAAACAAAUGAUGGCCUCACUAAAAGCAAACCAGAUGGGAUGGCAUGUCACUGCAAAAUGCUGUGGUAGCCAUGCUGGUUAAUUGUGCCCUCAAUUUUGACUAAGUCACCAACAGUGUCACCAGCAAAUCACCCCCACACCAUCACACCUCCUCCCCCAUGCUUCACAUAUUCAGGAAUUGUCUGUUCACCCUCUCUACGUCUAACAAAGAUAUGGUGGUUAGAACCAAAAAUCUCAAACUUGGACUCAUCAGACUAGAGGAGAGUUCUCCACUGAUCUUAUGUCCAGACCUUGUGUUUCUUGGCCCAAGCAAGUCUCUUCUGCAUGUGGUUCUUCCGAAGUAAUAGUUUCUUUGCCGCAAUACGACCAUGAUGACCUGACUUCUACAGUCUUCUCUGAACAGUGGAGGUUUAAAUAUGUCUGCUACUUGAUCCCCAAGAAGCAUUUAUGUGGGCUGUAAACUGAGGUGCUGUAUUUCGGCAGUUUCUGAGGCUGGUAAUUCUAAUAAACUUCUUCUUGGUAGCAGAGGUAGCUCUGAAUCUUUCUUGCCAUAACAUUGUUUUAUACAGUAGUUGUAGUAGCACUAAUAGGGCUAUAGACUCUGUACACACCCUUCCUCUUCUCAAGAUAACUGAUGCUCUAAACACAGUAAGAAGGCAAGAAAUGUCACAAAUGUAUUCAAGAAGACACACCUGUGAAUUAAAAACCCUGCCAGGUGACUACGCUGUGAAUCUGAUGAGAGAAUGCAAUGAGUGUGCCAAGCUGUCAGCUACUUUGGACAAUCUAAAAUAUAAAACAUAUUCUGGGUUGUUGAACACUGUUUUUGUUUUCUACAUAAUUCAUGUGUUGUUUUAUAGUUUGAAGUAUUAGUAUACAAUGUUGAAAAUAAUAAAAAAUAAAGAAAACUUCACUGAAGGAGAAGGUGUGUCCAAAUUCCAAACUUUUAACUGGUACUGUGUGCAUUAUUGUAUAUGUAUGUAUACAUGUGUGUAUAUGUGUGUGUGUGUGUGUGUGUGUAUUAAAUCUCACAGCAAG